UGCAAGUCGAGGGGUAUGCUUCUUCGGGAGCAGAGACCGGCGCACGGGUGCGUAACGCGUAUGCAAUCUACCUUUCACAGAGGGAUAGCCCAGAGAAAUUUGGAUUAAUACCUCAUAGUAUAGCAGUUUCGCAUGAAACCACUAUUAAAGUCACAACGGUGAAAGAUGAGCAUGCGUCCCAUUAGCUAGUUGGUAAGGUAACGGCUUACCAAGGCAACGAUGGGUAGGGGUCCUGAGAGGGAGAUCCCCCACACUGGUACUGAGACACGGACCAGACUCCUACGGGAGGCAGCAGUGAGGAAUAUUGGACAAUGGGCGCAAGCCUGAUCCAGCCAUGCCGCGUGCAGGAUGACGGUCCUAUGGAUUGUAAACUGCUUUUAUACGAGAAGAAACCCUCCGACGUGUCGGAGCUUGACGGUAUCGUAAGAAUAAGGAUCGGCUAACUCCGUGCCAGCAGCCGCGGUAAUACGGAGGAUCCAAGCGUUAUCCGGAAUCAUUGGGUUUAAAGGGUCCGUAGGCGGUCAGGUAAGUCAGUGGUGAAAGCCCAUCGCUCAACGGUGGAACGGCCAUUGAUACUGUCUGACUUGAAUUAUUAGGAAGUAACUAGAAUAUGUAGUGUAGCGGUGAAAUGCUUAGAGAUUACAUGGAAUACCAAUUGCGAAGGCAGGUUACUACUAAUGGAUUGACGCUGAUGGACGAAAGCGUGGGUAGCG
Molecule: ribosomal RNA, 713 nt
Filed under: Flavobacterium sp. B1114
Lineage: Bacteria; Pseudomonadati; Bacteroidota; Flavobacteriia; Flavobacteriales; Flavobacteriaceae
Description: bacterial SSU rRNA
Rfam family: Bacterial small subunit ribosomal RNA
Source: RNAcentral